RNAcentral lists this ribosomal RNA (1513 nucleotides) under Lacticaseibacillus casei. RNAcentral describes it as "bacterial SSU rRNA". It matches the Rfam family "Bacterial small subunit ribosomal RNA". Lineage: Bacteria; Bacillati; Bacillota; Bacilli; Lactobacillales; Lactobacillaceae. The record is from RNAcentral.
CUAUGUUGGCGGCGUGCUAUACAUGCAGUCGAACGAGUUCUCGUUGAUGAUCGGUGCUUGCACCGAGAUUCAACAUGGAACGAGUGGCGGACGGGUGAGUAACACGUGGGUAACCUGCCCUUAAGUGGGGGAUAACAUUUGGAAACAGAUGCUAAUACCGCAUAGAUCCAAGAACCGCAUGGUUCUUGGCUGAAAGAUGGCGUAAGCUAUCGCUUUUGGAUGGACCCGCGGCGUAUUAGCUAGUUGGUGAGGUAAUGGCUCACCAAGGCGAUGAUACGUAGCCGAACUGAGAGGUUGAUCGGCCACAUUGGGACUGAGACACGGCCCAAACUCCUACGGGAGGCAGCAGUAGGGAAUCUUCCACAAUGGACGCAAGUCUGAUGGAGCAACGCCGCGUGAGUGAAGAAGGCUUUCGGGUCGUAAAACUCUGUUGUUGGAGAAGAAUGGUCGGCAGAGUAACUGUUGUCGGCGUGACGGUAUCCAACCAGAAAGCCACGGCUAACUACGUGCCAGCAGCCGCGGUAAUACGUAGGUGGCAAGCGUUAUCCGGAUUUAUUGGGCGUAAAGCGAGCGCAGGCGGUUUUUUAAGUCUGAUGUGAAAGCCCUCGGCUUAACCGAGGAAGCGCAUCGGAAACUGGGAAACUUGAGUGCAGAAGAGGACAGUGGAACUCCAUGUGUAGCGGUGAAAUGCGUAGAUAUAUGGAAGAACACCAGUGGCGAAGGCGGCUGUCUGGUCUGUAACUGACGCUGAGGCUCGAAAGCAUGGGGUAGCGAACAGGAUUAGAUACCCUGGUAGUCCAUGCCGUAAACGAUGAAUGCUAGGUGUUGGAGGGUUUCCGCCCUUCAGUGCCGCAGCUAACGCAUUAAGCAUUCCGCCUGGGGAGUACGACCGCAAGGUUGAAACUCAAAGGAAUUGACGGGGGCCCGCACAAGCGGUGGAGCAUGUGGUUUAAUUCGAAGCAACGCGAAGAACCUUACCAGGUCUUGACAUCUUUUGAUCACCUGAGAGAUCAGGUUUCCCCUUCGGGGGCAAAAUGACAGGUGGUGCAUGGUUGUCGUCAGCUCGUGUCGUGAGAUGUUGGGUUAAGUCCCGCAACGAGCGCAACCCUUAUGACUAGUUGCCAGCAUUUAGUUGGGCACUCUAGUAAGACUGCCGGUGACAAACCGGAGGAAGGUGGGGAUGACGUCAAAUCAUCAUGCCCCUUAUGACCUGGGCUACACACGUGCUACAAUGGAUGGUACAACGAGUUGCGAGACCGCGAGGUCAAGCUAAUCUCUUAAAGCCAUUCUCAGUUCGGACUGUAGGCUGCAACUCGCCUACACGAAGUCGGAAUCGCUAGUAAUCGCGGAUCAGCACGCCGCGGUGAAUACGUUCCCGGGCCUUGUACACACCGCCCGUCACACCAUGAGAGUUUGUAACACCCGAAGCCGGUGGCGUAACCCUUUUAGGGAGCGAGCCGUCUAAGGUGGGACAAAUGAUUAGGGUGAAGUCGAACAAAGAGCCCUAUCCCCC